This 367-nucleotide long non-coding RNA is filed under the name Lactuca sativa (garden lettuce). RNAcentral describes it as "long non-coding RNA (LSAT_LNC002139)". Lineage: Eukaryota; Viridiplantae; Streptophyta; Magnoliopsida; Asterales; Asteraceae. The record is from RNAcentral.
ACAGAAGAACCCGAUGGAUUGCCUAAAUUUACAUACUUGGGAGAUUUUUAUAAAUUUUCGAUUAAGGAAGAAAGAUUUUCAAGAUAGCCAGACUGAACAACUUGACUAGAUACAAGAAAGAUAAAGCUUCAAAACAAAAUUCAUAAAUGUAUGCUAAAAAAUUCUUUUUUUUUUUUUUGGGAAAUCGAAACGAAGUUACAUGCUUACAGGGUUUUUAUAAAGGUAUGAUCAAGGAAGAAGACGAAGAAGAAGGGAGCGAUCCAGGUUGAACACGAACUGCGUUUAUAUAUAGUGAAAUUGUUCUGAAAUUAAAUAAGCAAAAAGCUGCAAUCUGCUACCUGCUCACUCUCGAGGAAUCUGAGGGGCG